RNAcentral lists this long non-coding RNA (277 nucleotides) under Phoenix dactylifera (date palm). Its description in RNAcentral is "long non-coding RNA (PDAC_LNC000800)". The record is from RNAcentral. Lineage: Eukaryota; Viridiplantae; Streptophyta; Magnoliopsida; Arecales; Arecaceae.
GUAUGACUCUGUUGGGAAGUUUCUAAAUAGGAAAAGUUUCAUCUUAUAUGAUAAGGUGGUGGGCCCUUGCUUUGAGUACUUUUAUCUGGGCUCUAGGGUGCAGGUGGUGUGGGGAAUAUCUGAUCCUACUUGCUUCCAACGCAAACCUAAGAUUUGAGACCCAAUGUGUGUGAAUCCCGAAUUAGUAGUAAUUGACCAGAAAUCUGAUCGAGUCAGGUAGCGACCUAACAUAUUUAUAAUUAACUAAACAGAAUAUUCUCAAUCAAACAAAAAGAAU